This 103-nucleotide long non-coding RNA is filed under the name Coturnix japonica (Japanese quail). RNAcentral's name for it is "SOX2 overlapping transcript exon 4 (ENSCJPG00005014230.1)". It matches the Rfam family "SOX2 overlapping transcript exon 4". From Rfam's summary of the family: SOX2 overlapping transcript (SOX2OT) is a long non-coding RNA, containing at least 5 exons. The SOX2 gene, an important regulator of neurogenesis, lies within one of the introns of SOX2OT. The record is from RNAcentral. Lineage: Eukaryota; Metazoa; Chordata; Aves; Galliformes; Phasianidae.
CGCGGUGUAGCCCCCAAUUCGGACAAUCUCUGCAGCCGGUCGCAAGCCCCAAAGAGAAGCGCUGGCGCCCGCCAGAUAAGGAGGAGAGCUCCGCCGUCGGUGC